GGCUCCUCAGCCUCUCCGUCCCACUCCUCCCCCAGGUGGUUGGUGGCCGUGGGCUCACGUGGGUUCGGCGAGGUGGUGCCGGGCAUGUCUUGGGGAGGGGGCUGCUAGAGUCUGAAGUAUGCUUUGGAGCCACCUGUGCCGACAGCCGGAAAGACAGGCUCGAGCUGGCGCGGCCCCCAGACCCCCGCGGGAUCAGGAGGACAUGACUCCUGGCUGAGAGCCCCUCCCAGGAGGCCCCGUGUGGACGCCCUCGCGCCUGCCUGACAGACCUCCCCUUCCCCCGGUGCCAGGACAGCCUGCCUGGUUUACACCCUGUGGCCUUCGUCCCCAACAAGGAGGAGCAAGACGGGGUGGAGGGGGUGCUGACCUGUGUUCCGAGCCAGCGCUGCUGCUGCUUCCGGAAUGGGGGCCACGCCUGCUUGGAGGAGGAGGUGGGCGGAGGACCGGUGUCAGCUGCUGCCUUGGCCCUCGGCUUUGCCAGCCCGCCGUUGGGGCACCCUGUUGCCUGUCCACCCACCGGCCUUUGUUAACUUAACCUUCAACAGUUGGUUCAGAAAUGGGCAUGUGACCCAAUGUGAGAGAGACUUCAGGAAACCACUUUUCCUGCUCUUGACGGAGGUCCGUAGGAGGACAGACCACCUUGCCUCUGUCAGUGACCCAUGUCUGGACGUGAUGCCGGGGAUCACUGGGCGUCUUGGCACCAGCCGUGUCUGGGACCGCCCUGCCUUUGAGGCGCUGGCAAGAGACAUGAGAUCAAGCCAGAGAGCCUGGCUGGGCAUAGUGCAGCUGGACCCCUGUCUCCUGGCUCCGUGGGCUUCCCUUCUUCCUGAAUCCCAUGAUGUGGUCCGCGUGGAUGCUGUGCCUGCAGGGUCUCUGAAAAACAGUGAGCUCAGCCGGAACUGCUAACAAUGGGCCACAGGCCAGCUCACCUGACUUUUACCCCAGAAAACAAACAGCUUUGCCCUUGGCUUUGGAAGGGGCAUCCUCUCUGCCAAUGGUGUUUGCUACAGCAUCAUCCUUGAUGAGGUGGUUGGGACCAACAGUGGCCCUGCCUCUGCCUGCAGCCGUGCAGGAGCGUGACAGACCCAGGGAAGUGGUGGCGGAGCAGCGACGGGAAAGGAGUAUGGUUCCGGUGACAUCAUGAAGCCCAAGUGGGAUCUGCCCUUUUGUGACUCCGUUUGGGGAGGUCAGAGAUGGGGACCUGACCUCGUGUCCUGGGCGCUUCGUCACCGCAGUUGAACCAGCCCCCGUGUGCUGCUGUCAGGAGGCCAUGAGGUCAGGAGGGAAGGAACGAGCUGUGAGGGCCGGUCGGGGGCAGGAGCACAGGCCGUCUGCGUCCCGGUCACAGGUGACGCCGGGAUCUUACAGGUCGGGAGCGAGCCCGUGAGCCGCCCACGUCCUCGCGACGGGCCCUUCGUCGGUCCUUGGAGCCGCAGCCACUGUGCCGGCCGAACAGGGGCAUCUGAGCAAGGGUCGUCUUCUCAUGGUCACUGGCUGCCGGGCUGCUUUUGUGAAGGGUCAACAUCGAUGGCUUGUUUUUC
Suricata suricatta (meerkat) is the source of this 1541-nucleotide long non-coding RNA. RefSeq lists it as uncharacterized. The transcript has 3 exons. Lineage: Eukaryota; Metazoa; Chordata; Mammalia; Carnivora; Herpestidae. The record is from RefSeq and is a predicted model, not a curated record.